AAUGAAUCAAAAAAUCUGCGCUGCUUGCCUUUUGUGGAGUUCUCUUCAUUUGAUAUCUUCAAAUCCAUAAGAUCUCUCCUUUAAUUUGCUCUCGAAGUAACAUAUUUUUCCUAUUUACCCUUUUAAAAUCCUACAUAAUAGUUCCACAUUGUUCUCCUACCUUCAUGCAUUCCACUUUUUAAAUACUUCAAAGCAUUCCAUGAGUUGUUGCUACUGGUACUCCAUGUCAAAUCUGCAGACGUUAAGCAAAGAUUCCAGUUUUAGAANUUUUUAUUGAUGCAUCAAUUAUGAUAUUUAACAUACUACAUUAGCUAGCAAUAAAUUUGAAGUCCAAACUAUGAUAAAGUGGUUAGGCAAAACAUAAAAAGUCAAGGUCUCAGAUAAUUAUUCACACUCAGGUUUAGGGAUUCAUUAUAAGUCUUAAUGAAUCAAAACCUGCGCGUCUACCUUUUGUGGAGUUCUCUUCAUUUGAUAUAUUCAAAUCCAUAAGAUAAGAUCUCUCCUUUAAUUUCCUAUCGAAGUAACAAAUUUUCCUAUUUAUCCCUUUAAAAUCCUACAUAAUAGUUCCACAUUGUUCUCCUACCUUCAUGCAUUCCACUUUUCCUCUCCACUACUUAAAUACUUCAAAGCAUUCCAUGAGUUGUUGCUAUUGGUACUCCAUGUCAAAUC
RNAcentral lists this long non-coding RNA (669 nucleotides) under Salvia miltiorrhiza (redroot sage). RNAcentral describes it as "long non-coding RNA (SMIL_LNC006479)". Lineage: Eukaryota; Viridiplantae; Streptophyta; Magnoliopsida; Lamiales; Lamiaceae. The record is from RNAcentral.